GGCUCCCUCUUACCACCAAGUAUUUUGGUAGUUCACAAAAAUGAUCUUGAAAUCAUCUUGUGUCAUUUAGUAUCAGAACUUAGACUUAUUACUAUCUUUAAAUUACUUUGCAUAUUCGUGUUGCAUAAUUAAUACUCAUCAAAUUAAGUGUUAAUCUCAUGUGUUACAUCUCACUAAAAUACAUUUAUCAGUUCGUUCAAG
Molecule: long non-coding RNA, 201 nt
Filed under: Carica papaya (papaya)
Lineage: Eukaryota; Viridiplantae; Streptophyta; Magnoliopsida; Brassicales; Caricaceae
Description: long non-coding RNA (CPAP_LNC008099)
Source: RNAcentral